UAUCCCUUCUACUCGUGAAGUGACGGAGCCAGCAUCGCCGUCACAUGUUGCAUCGCAGGCGUCUGAUCCCUCAAUCGCCCAUACACCGGGCACUGCAUCCAACGAGGACGUGGACCCACGCAUGGGUUGCUUUUAGAGCGACUUACACGUGAGGGUAGGGUGACGGUAUAGUUCCCACGGGACUGCAUUAGACCUGUUAAGAAUAAUGUCAUGUUGUUUACGUCGGAGGUCGGUGUCUUAUGCCGAUCUCUGAUCUCCCCACCACUCCCCGUUGGGGAGACGUGACAGAUGAUGUGCGGCAGCUCAUCCGUCAGCGCCUUCAGGAUAAAUUUGACUUGGAUUUGAGUGUUCCGCACAUCUCCCAUGCCGUCGACGACAUGAUGAAGGAGCGGUUCAAAGAUUACCGCAGUAAGUUACACCGGCAAUACAAGCGGUGCAUGAGCCACGAGGAGGC
Magnolia sinica is the source of this 454-nucleotide long non-coding RNA. RefSeq lists it as uncharacterized. The record is from RefSeq and is a predicted model, not a curated record. The transcript is spliced from 3 exons. Lineage: Eukaryota; Viridiplantae; Streptophyta; Magnoliopsida; Magnoliales; Magnoliaceae.